GCAAGAAGAAAAGCAGUGGUGAUGUGGAAGAGACUGCUAGGAAGUGUCAAGUGUGUAUAAGACUCACUUUUGAGUGUUAGCCGUCGGAGCGGGGUUCUGUCCCCGCUGGGCUGCCACCCGCCCUGGGCUCCCGCCAUGGAACUCAGCGUCGAGUACCUGCGGGAGAAACUGCAGCAGGACCUGGAGGCAGAGCACGUGGAAGUGGAGGACAGGACUCCCAACUGUUGCGCGUCCAGCUUCCGAGUCCUGGUGGUGUCGGCCAAGUUCGAGGGGAAGCCGCUGCUUCAGAGACACCAGCUGGUGAACACGUGCCUAGCAGAAGAGCUCCCGCACAUCCAUGCCUUUGAGCAGAAAACCCUGACCCGGACUUGCACAGCCAUUAAAUUAUGAAUCAGGGAAGAAAAAAAAAAAAAGACUCACUUUGUCGGAUUUACGAAUGAAUCUGACUUAAUGUUCUCCCAGAACGGAACUCGUUCGUAAGUCGGGGACUUACUGUAUAAAGAGUAAUGUGACAAGAAAUUUGCUAAUCUGGAUCCUAUAGUUAUUUACAGUAAAAUAUAUCCCUAUUAUAAAUAUGCCUUUGAAAACAAAGAUAACAUCUUAAUGAGCUUUAAGACUUUUAGAGUGCAUAUGUAUGAAACAUUUUUUUUCUCAUGGUAUCCCAAAAUUCAUGAUAUGAAAAGAAACAGUUUUUCUUUUAAAAUAUUUUAUUGGGGAAUUAGGGGAGGGGAACAGUGCU
This is an RNA transcript of Hipposideros armiger (great roundleaf bat), 739 nucleotides long. It is a transcript of the gene named bolA-like protein 2 pseudogene, with no coding region annotated. The transcript has a single exon. The record is from RefSeq and is a predicted model, not a curated record. NCBI's taxonomy places the organism in Eukaryota, Metazoa, Chordata, Mammalia, Chiroptera, Hipposideridae.